RNAcentral lists this microRNA (20 nucleotides) under Schmidtea mediterranea. Its description in RNAcentral is "sme-miR-754b-5p". Its record names the gene sme-miR-754b-5p. The record is from miRBase by way of RNAcentral. Lineage: Eukaryota; Metazoa; Platyhelminthes; Tricladida; Dugesiidae.
GUUGCUUGGGGGUAUUACUA